Molecule: ribosomal RNA, 433 nt
Filed under: uncultured bacterium
Lineage: Bacteria
Description: partial 16S ribosomal RNA
Rfam family: Bacterial small subunit ribosomal RNA
Source: RNAcentral
AGCGAACGCUGGCGGCAGGCCUAACACAUGCAAGUCGAGCGAACUCUUCGGAGUUAGUGGCGGACGGGUGAGUAACACGUGGGAACGUGCCUUUUGGUUCGGACUAACUCAGGGACACUUGUGCUAAUACCGAAUGUGCCCUUCGGGGGAAAGAUUUAUCGCCAUUAGAGCGGCCCGCGUCUGAUUAGCUAGUUGUUGAGGUAACGGCUCACCAAGGCGACGAUCAGUAGCUGGUCUGAGAGGAUGACCAGCCACACUGGGACUGAGACACGGCCCAGACUCCUACGGGAGGCAGCAGUGGGGAAUCUUGCGCAAUGGGCGAAAGCCUGACGCAGCCAUGACGCGUGAAUGAUGAAGGUCUUAGGAUUGUAAAAUGCUUUCACCGGGGAAGAUAAUGACGGUACCCGGAGAAGAAGCCCCGGCUAACUUCGUG